This 214-nucleotide unclassified non-coding RNA is filed under the name uncultured bacterium. RNAcentral's name for it is "contains 16S-23S intergenic spacer region". It matches the Rfam family "Bacterial small subunit ribosomal RNA", at positions 976 to 1192 of the family's 1533-position model. The record is from RNAcentral.
UGGGUUUGACAUAUACCGGAAAGCCGUAGAGAUACGGCCCCCCUUGUGGUCGGUAUACAGGUGGUGCAUGGCUGUCGUCAGCUCGUGUCGUGAGAUGUUGGGUUAAGUCCCGCAACGAGCGCAACCCUCGCCCCUAGUUGCCAACGGGUCAGGCCGGGAACUCUAGGGGGACUGCCCCGGUUAACGGGGAGGAAGGUGGGGAUGACGUUCGUCA